AUUCUGGUGUUCUCACCUGCUCUAAGGCACUGGGAGACAGCAGGGGAAAAGGAGAGGAUGGCGCAGCCAGCGGUGACUUUGCAACAGUGGAAAAGCAGGCAGCCACAACUCUCUUGGCGUUGUCGCCUUUCUCCACAAGCAAGCUGUUGAACUGAAGGGGCUGGAUUUGGCCAAUUACAAGUUGCUGCUGGGAAGCCCGCAAACAGGACAUGAGUGCAAUAGGUCACUCCUGAAAAGUGACUAGAAACUACAACGUUACUUAGAGAACUACAUGGUGAACUUUGGAUCCACGCAGAUUUCAAAGGAUGGCUGAGUUCUUCUGGAUCUCAUAUUGUUUCAUAAAGUAUAGCCUGGUUGUCCUGGAGUCCCUCCCCUGUGGACCGAAGCCUGUGGCAGGUGCAAAAGAAGGGUUUUUAAAAGCACAGGACCUUCAAGGUGUCCUCAAGCGGGUUACUCCUUGGUUGAAAAUGUUGCUACCAGCAUUUAAGUUACUUAGCAGAAACUGGUAAGUAUAUUUAAUUUCACAUUUGGAAGAAAGGGGGUGGCUCGAGUUUUGAGGAAUGAAUCAGGGAAGGAGCAAGCAGUGAGAAAAUGAUGUGUUGCUCGAGGCAGUAUUUGCUGUGUGUUUGUGUAUACAUCUAACUGGGGAUCUGAUCAAGACAAUACUUUGCUGAACAUGAACAAGUUCGGACUUUGUGGCGGAGUGAAGAGGAAAUGAGGAUUAUCACACACAGUGUCUUCCUCUUGCCUUAGGCUGUUUGAUUCAUGUUUAUCAAGGGCAAAGAAGCUAGCAAAAGUGAACAACUGCAGUACCCCUGCCACCACCUAGUUCACAACAGCAUAUAUUCAUGUGUUCAGCUUUUUUGCCUUUUAUUUGACAAAGAAGUCUUAGGAAAGGAUUUGUCAGAUGCCUAUCUUUUAAAUAUGUGGCACUCUUAUACCCUGGGGUGCUUUGUUUGUAUUUUCCCUGCAUGCCUCUGGUUUAUGACAAAUCAGAGUCCUCAUAGUUAGGACUGGAGGACAAGUCCAUUUUAAAUGUCCACUUAUAUCUGUUUUUUAACCCUAUUAAUUAAACACAAAUUAUACACAAAAUUAUAUGCAGACCUCCGCCUCCUGUAUAUUUUUACAUUUAACUGAGUCAAGGCCCCUGUGGUAUUAUAUUUCUGCAGCAUAAUUUUACAAGUUGUAAAACAUAAAUAUUAUUAUAUACUUAUAUGCUUUGUUGUGUAGGUAUCUAGUUACUUUAGGAAAUCUCUAGUGUAUACUAGGCAUUCAUUACAUAUAUGUAUAUCAUAAAACAUACAAUACAGGCAGUUUAUGUGCGUUCAAUCUGUGUGCGACUGUGUGUAUGCGCAUCACGUUGAACUCAGAAAUGAGCCAGAAAGAUCAUAAAGAUGUCACUGAAAUGUCACUUAAAUGGCAGAAUUUCUAGGGGGUGGGGUGGGGGCAGAAUGGGGUGUUCGCAGGCUUUUUCAAUGGGUUUCAAUUAUAUGUGAUUUCAUGGAAGUGUGCAGUGCCCUGGAACAUAACCCCCUUGUAAACAGAGAGCUGCCUGUACACACACACAGUGGGAGCCUUGUGGUAUGUUCCAUACUGCCAGCACUUCCUGAAGUGGCAAUGUGACAUUCCGUCAGGCUGGAAUCUCUUUCCGUCAGGCUGGAAUCUUGUCAGUAAAGAGCCCCACCGAAAGUGAGCAUGGGAACCUUUCUUACUGUUUGUGGAGCAAAAAGGAAAAACCCGAUUCCAUCUUCAGAGAAACCCCACGUUUGCUAGCUCUUAGCACACGCUCCAUCUUGGCAUGGCUUCCUUGAAUGGUCAUGUGUCCACACAGUAUUGUUUUAAGAGUGAAUCAGUAAGGCAUUGGGUAGAUUAACUGCAUUCAGCAUGUUCAUAACUUAGGUAUUUAACAUAACCUGUGCUUGCUGAGUGUGUUAGUCACAAUGAUGUGAAGUACCUGAAACGUCAUUAAGAGGUUCCUUAAACUGCAAUGCUAAGGUCACCUAAGGACUAUCAAUGUUUCAUUAAUGUUUCAUUAAACAAUGCUGGGCACGAACCUAGUGAAGAGUUCUUAUGUCUCCACUAAUAAUCUACGGGCAUUUAAAGACAGAAUCUAGGUCAGAGGUGAUUUAUUUCCUUUUAUAAUUCAAACAGACCUCUAGGUGUUGCUGUACUUUCAGAUUUUUAUGAAAUAAUUUGGGUUCUUAUGUCCUAAUGUGUAGCAAUUUAAUAGCUGCAGUGAUCUGAAGGAUGAUGGUGGCUUCACUGAGAAUAAUGAUAAAUGUAUUGAGGAGUGAUGGAUGCACUUAAGCAGGAGGAGGUUAAUGAUUGGUGCUCCUAACAGAUUUGAUGUGGGAGUGAUAAAUUAAAGGUGACUUGCAAAGGUAAAGCACUAAAUUCCAUUAACUUUACCAAUAUGUGCUUGAAUACCCCUUGCCCCAGUACCAUGGCUCAGCUAGGAGGUGAAUUUUGCAAAUUGUUACUUGAAAGGUAACUUUAUUAUUCUUCAGUCUAGUCAUAGCCACAUUCCAUCGAAUGUUUUCCACUUUUGUUGUCCAGAUCCUGUUCAAAUCUUAUUUCAAAUGAGAAAUUGUGUCUCAGAUACCGUAGUGAUGUUGACAAUUGCAUUUUCAGGGUUCACAACUGAAUAGCAGCCAUGUUUUCAACAGAAGUGCUAAUAGCCCAAUGUUUGGCUUUCAGUCAGGUGGCAGACUCCAUCCACCAUCCUCAGUGUUUGCAACAGCUCAUUGUUAUAAAAUCUCAGGCUUUCCGGACCUCAAAUUUUAGAAAAAUACACCUUUGCAAAGCAAGUUCUUUUGGCCUGCAUUCUGAUUGCAUGUUGACGUGGUGGUAUGUCCCAUUCAGCUCUGGUCUUUCUAGUUAUGCCAUUGCUGAGCAAAGCCCAGGCUACCAGGACUCUGUCUGGUAAUCUGGGUCACCUGGUGAGUCUGGAAUGUUAUAAUACGGCUGAAAGAGCUAUGCGUAGGGAAGAGACAGAACAACAGCUAUUCUAACUUUUAUUUUAAAACUUUGGCAUAAAAGUUCCUAAAAGAUAAAUGCUGCUGUCACAACACUUGAAAAUGUGAUUUCCUUGGUCUCUAGUCUUGAAGCAGCUUGGCUACCUUGCGAUUCCACCUGGCCCAUUAGGUGUCAGAUGGGGCAUAGAACUGUCAAUAUUACAAUACUGUAGAGUAACGGGACUGAGAAGCAAUAUUGCAGCAUGCAACAAGGGACCAACAAAUGCAUGCUUUGCUCUUGGUUUUAAAAGACUUGCAUGGUGAUCCGGUGACUGAAGAAGAUUCAGUUUGUUUGCUGUUAAUUCAACUAGGGGAACGAACUUCUCUACGCUGAGUGGUGCAAACAGUUCACAGAAAUUAAGCAUCAAAUAUGAGGCAUGCACAUCUGCUUAGUGUGUCCUCUCCACCUUUCAGAGCCCCUGGCACAAUGUUUCCCAAGGGUGCAACAGCAAGUUUCAAGUUGGCUGCUUGGGAAUGCCAUUAUGCUAUAUGUCUUUUUGUGACAUUGGUGCAAAGUCAUCAUGCCAUUAUUCCAGUGCAGUGGACACCCAGUUUAAAUACUCAUUUCCUGCUGUGCCAGCUCAUGGAAUCAGGCCUUAAAUCGCUUUAAAACUAUCUGUUUCCACUAGUUGUGGUUCAUCAAAAUGUAUCAGGAAGACUGAUUGAAGGAUUUAUAACCUGCAACGUAAUUAACAAAGGCAACUUACUGUACUCUGGGCUGUUUAAGCAAGUAGCUAGUGGCAAUCCUAAAUAGAUUUAACUUGGAAAUAAACUAAAGUCCUUUGAAAUGAAUAGGACUUACUUUCAAUUAAAUUAAUUUAACUGAUGUUUGCAAAAGGUGAUUGACAAUUGAAUUAGCUUACCUCAUUUGUAUAAGCUCCUUAGUACACAAG
Non-coding RNA from Zootoca vivipara (common lizard), 3907 nucleotides. Lineage: Eukaryota; Metazoa; Chordata; Lepidosauria; Squamata; Lacertidae. The record is from RefSeq and is a predicted model, not a curated record.